UUGCCUUUUGCCUUGAACCCCCUGUGAAAUAUGAUGAUAUUUUGUUUUGGUGACGGACUAAUCUCAUAAAUGCUUGAGAUAUCAAAACUUAAAAUAAUUUUUAUAAGCUAUAUGAUGUGGCAAUUGAUGGUUGGACUCAUUUUUUAAAUUAUUAAAAAAAAGUUCAACUAUCAACGGCCACCUCAUGUGGUCUAUAAAUCCUUAAUUAAGAAGUAAAAUAAAAUAAUAGACUAAUAAUUAAUUCCCUUAAAGCCUUUUUGUAUUGCCAAAAAUUGUUCCAUAGAGGAAUCAUUGCACUGCUGCCGCAUAAGCAGUAGUUCAUCAUGGGAUCAAACUCUUUCUCGCGAAAUAUGCACGUAAAAAAUUAUUAUAGGCACCCAAGUCUUCGUUUUAUAUUCUUAUUUUUUAUGUAGCUCCACUAUCGUAUGUCUAAAGAUCAAAACAAUAUAAUUCAGUGCAUCUAAUCCAUUCAAAUGUACAAAAUUCAAAAUAAUAAAUGAUAGAAAUAUAUGAAAAUAUGACCACAUCAGUCCCCACAUGAGCGUAGGUGGAAUAUGAGAGUAGUAUUCUCUUGAAAUUCCUUUCCCACCAUCUAAGUCCUAACCAUAUAUAAUGUUGGUUUUACCGCGUCCAUAAUAUAGGAACCAAGUCCUAACUCUGGAAAAUUAAUAUUUGGUU
RNAcentral lists this long non-coding RNA (678 nucleotides) under Malus domestica (apple). RNAcentral describes it as "long non-coding RNA (MDOM_LNC014666)". Lineage: Eukaryota; Viridiplantae; Streptophyta; Magnoliopsida; Rosales; Rosaceae. The record is from RNAcentral.